UACGGGGGGAGCAAGCGUUGUUCGGAUUUACUGGGCGUAAAGGGCGCGUAGGCGGCGUGACAAGUCACUUGUGAAAUCUCCGGGCUUAACUCGGAACGGUCAAGUGAUACUGUCGUGCUAGAGUACAGAAGGGGCAACUGGAAUUCUCGGUGUAGCGGUGAAAUGCGUAGAUAUCGAGAGGAACACCUGCGGCGAAGGCGGGUUGCUGGGCUGAUACUGACGCUGAGGCGCGAAAGCCAGGGGAGCGAAAGGG
RNAcentral lists this ribosomal RNA (253 nucleotides) under uncultured bacterium. RNAcentral's name for it is "partial 16S ribosomal RNA". It matches the Rfam family "Bacterial small subunit ribosomal RNA", at positions 524 to 776 of the family's 1533-position model. The record is from RNAcentral.